RNAcentral lists this ribosomal RNA (459 nucleotides) under uncultured bacterium. RNAcentral describes it as "partial 16S ribosomal RNA". It matches the Rfam family "Bacterial small subunit ribosomal RNA", at positions 338 to 795 of the family's 1533-position model. The record is from RNAcentral.
CCUACGGGAGGCAGCAGUGAGGAAUAUUGGUCAAUGGUCGGGAGACUGAACCAGCCAAGCCGCGUGAGGGAUGAAGGUACAGAGUAUCGUAAACCUCUUUUGUCAGGGAACAAAGGCGGCGACGCGUCCCCGGAUGAGUGGACCUGGAAAAAAAGCAUCGGCCAACUCCGUGCCAGCAGCCGCGGUAAUACGGAGGAUGCGAGCGUUAUCCGGAUUUAUUGGGUUUAAAGGGGGCGCAGGCGGAAUGUUAAGUCAGCGGUAAAAGCCCGGGGCUCAACCCCGGCCCGCCGUUGAAACUGGCAGUCUAGAGUUGGAGAGAAGUAUGCGGAAUGCGUGGUGUAGCGGUGAAAUGCAUAGAUAUCGCGCAGAACUCCGAUUGCGAAGGCAGCAUGCCGGCUCCAAACUGACGCUGAGGCACGAAAGCGUGGGUAUCGAACAGGAUUAGAUACCCGUGUAGUC